RNAcentral lists this ribosomal RNA (775 nucleotides) under uncultured Neocallimastigales. RNAcentral describes it as "partial large subunit ribosomal RNA". It matches the Rfam family "Eukaryotic large subunit ribosomal RNA", at positions 22 to 637 of the family's 3401-position model. The record is from RNAcentral. Lineage: Eukaryota; Fungi; Neocallimastigomycota; Neocallimastigomycetes; Neocallimastigales.
GGUACACGCUGUGACUAGCAUAUCAAUAAGCGGAGGAAAAGAAACUAACAAGGAUUCCCCUAGUAACGGCGAGUGAAGCGGGAAGAGCUCAAAUUUGAAAUCUUAAAGGGUUUCCCUUUACGAAUUGUAGUUUAAAGAAGUGUUUUCUGUUGAGGUUUUGGUAAAAGUUCUUUGGAAUAGGACAUCAUAGAGGGUGAGAAUCCCGUAUUUGACCUUUACUUUCAACUUUGUGAUACACUUUCAAAGAGUCGGAUUGUUUGGGAAUGCAGUCCAAAAUGGGUGGUAAAUUUCAUCUAAAGCUAAAUAUUGGCGAGAGACCGAUAGCGAACAAGUACCGUGAGGGAAAGAUGAAAAGAACUUUGAAAAGAGAGUUAAACAGUACGUGAAAUUGUCAAAAGGGAAGCGUUUGACACCAGUGUUGUUUUUCUGAAAAUCAAUUAAAGAACUGUUUAUGCUAAGUUGUUUAGACUUUAUCAGCUAACUGUUUAGUUUUGAGCUUUUCUUUAAUGCACUUUUCAGUUAACAAGUCAACAUCAAUUUCUUUUGCUGUAAAAAAGCUUGAGGAAGGUGGCUUGAGAUUCGUCUUAAGUGUUUAUAGCCUCUUGCCUAUGCAGUCGGAGAGAUUGAGGUCUGCAGCGUAGAUCCUUCGGGGCUAAAUGCAUUUGUGCUAAGUUAUAGCAUUUUAUAGACAACUUGUUGACUAUGAUUUGUCUUGUAGCUUACUCGCUUAUGUUAUAUUACCUACGCUUAGGAUGUUGACAGCAGUAUAGACUGU